This is a long non-coding RNA of Anneissia japonica, 1075 nucleotides long. RefSeq lists it as uncharacterized. The transcript has 3 exons. Lineage: Eukaryota; Metazoa; Echinodermata; Crinoidea; Comatulida; Comatulidae. The record is from RefSeq and is a predicted model, not a curated record.
UACAUAGGCCUAGGUCCUAAUCAAUGGCAAUAACAUUAUCAUUAUUGAAAAGGCCUGUCCGACGGGAGAAAAUUGGACAGAACGGCAAAAAAACAAAACUUGAAAUAAAAAUGUCUAGGAUCAGCAAUAUUUAAGCAUCAGUCGGAUUACACCAACAUAACUUUUUUUAAUAGGCCUUUAAUAGUAAAUUUGCAUUUUCUUUUAAUUAUUUUGUUUUCAUUAUUAGUAAUAUGUAAUCUACUGUUAGGUAGUUAAUAAUAAUUAAUAAUAAUAAUAAUAAUAAUAAUAAUAAUAAUAAUAAUAAUAAUUAAAAUUUGAAUUUAUCCAGGAGAUAUCUAUUGGGGCCAGGCAUACCAUUGUCCAUGAUGUGGCCUGUGCAAGUAUUGGAAUGGCCACCAUUGCCGUCAUCGGUACAAGUUUUCUGUCAUGCAGAUGAUGCAGAGUCAGCAAGAGAAUGAAAUUAUCAACAAAAUUGCGGGCUGUGAUGAGCAAAUAUGUAUGUCUCCAAUGUUGCCUCUACCUAAUCCACCCCUGACAGAAGGAAUAGAUCCUGAAGUCUUUAUUGCUACAGCAUUGGACAGGUGAGAACUGUGGGAAGUUGACCGACUUGCUAAGUUAACUGGUUGUCAAUUUUCUAGUAUGUUUCGUACUCAGAAUACAACACAUGUUAUCAUAAAAACAGGUUAGUUUAGAAUAAAAAUCAUUUUAUUCAUUGCAAAAUGUUUAAAAUAUUGGAGUUUAAAUUUUAAAAGGUUCUGUGAAAUUGGAUUCAAAUUUCAGAAUCAUAAUCAUAUUUAUUGUCAUUAUAAUUUUCAUUGUUUUAGUCAAUGAUAAAUUUAUUCCAUCCCCAUAUUAUUGUCAUGGUCAUCAAUAAUGUAUGGCAGAUGUCCCAAUAUAGUAAUGUUCACUUUGUUGCACAACCUGAUGGUUGCUUUGAUAAAUUUAACAUUCCUUUUGCAGUGUUUCUAAAUAUAAAAACAUCAAUUAAAAAAAUCAAUACCUUUAAAACACAUUUAUUCCCUUGUUCUAUGCUUACUGCUGUAAUCAGACAAUAUCACAAUAAAUCAAAUAAUGU